Molecule: ribosomal RNA, 253 nt
Filed under: uncultured bacterium
Lineage: Bacteria
Description: partial 16S ribosomal RNA
Rfam family: Bacterial small subunit ribosomal RNA
Source: RNAcentral
UACGUAGGGAGCAAGCGUUGUCCGGAAUUACUGGGCGUAAAGCGCUCGUAGGUGGUUUGUCGCGUUGUUCGUGAAAACUCACAGCUCAACUGUGGGCGUGCGGGCGAUACGGGCAGACUGGAGUACUGCAGGGGAGACUGGAAUUCCUGGUGUAGCGGUGGAAUGCGCAGAUAUCAGGAGGAACACCGGUGGCGAAGGCGGGUCGCUGGGCAGUAACUGACGCUGAGGAGCGAAAGCGUGGGGAGCGAACAGG